GUGUGAUGUUGGCUGUGGAUUUGCCAUAUACGGCCUUUAUUAUGUUGAGGUAAUCGUAGUGACAGAAAAAGCCUGAAAUGCUGUGAGCAGUGACUUCUCAGUCAGUUGCUGGUUGGCCUAUCCAUUCUGGGGCACGGGUCUACCUCUCAGGGAGUGAGAAAAAC
Diceros bicornis minor is the source of this 164-nucleotide long non-coding RNA. RefSeq lists it as uncharacterized. The record is from RefSeq and is a predicted model, not a curated record. NCBI's taxonomy places the organism in Eukaryota, Metazoa, Chordata, Mammalia, Perissodactyla, Rhinocerotidae. The transcript has 3 exons.